This 32397-nucleotide long non-coding RNA is filed under the name Citrus sinensis (sweet orange). RNAcentral's name for it is "long non-coding RNA (CSIN_LNC002955)". Lineage: Eukaryota; Viridiplantae; Streptophyta; Magnoliopsida; Sapindales; Rutaceae. The record is from RNAcentral.
AUGAUGGCACUACAAAAGAAAAGUCAGAGAUCGUGCCAGUAUAUGUGGAAAAUAAUCUAGAAGAUUCAGAUUCUUCUGAAGCAACACCAGAGAACGAGGAACAAGAACCAAUCAAGUCCGAGGCUACAGAAGUUCGUCGGUCAACUCGUAAGAGACGGCCACCAACAUGGCACUCAGAGUAUGUCACAAAGAUCAACGUUGCAUACUAUCUUCUAAUGGAGGAUGGAGAGCCAUUAACUUUCCAUGAAGCUUUAGAAAGCUCAGAUAUUGCUUUGUGGAUGACAGCAAUGCAGGAAGAAAUUGAAGCUCUACACAAGAACAAGACAUGGGAACUUAAGACAUGGGAACUUGUACAUAUGCUCAGAAAGAAAGCAUUGACUUCAACGAGAUAUUUUCGCCCGUGGUUCGACUCACAACAGUCAGAAUAGUCUUGACAAUGUGUGCUACAUUUGACCUACAUCUAGAGCAGUUAGAUGUGAAAACCACAUUUCUUCAUGGAAAACUUGAAGAAAAAAUAUAUAUGCUCCAACUAGAAGGUUUUGCAGAAACAGAAAAGGAGAACUUGGUUUGCAAGUUGAACAAAUCUCUAUACGAUUUCAAACAGGCGCCGAGGUGUUGGUAUAAGAGAUUUGAUUCUUUCAUUAUGAGCCUUGGAUACAAUAGGCUCAGUUCAGACCAUUGUGCAUAUUACAAGAAGUUUGAAGAUAAUGAUUUCAUCAUUUUGCUGUUGUAUGUGGAUGACAUGUUGGUAGCAGGUCCCAACAAAGAUCGAAUCCAAGAAUUGAAAGCACAAUUGGCUAGGGAGUUUGAAAUAAAGGGCUUGGGACCAGCAAAUAAGAUUCUAGGGAUGCAAAUUCACCGAGACAGAAUAAUAAGAAGAUUUGGCUUUCGCAGAAGAAUUACUUGAAGAAAAUCUUGCGACGCUUCAACAUGCAAGAUUGUAAGUCAAUUUCUACCCCACUUCCUGUUAAUUUCAAAUUAUCCUCAAGUAUGUGUCCUAGCAAUGAAGCGGAGAGGAAGGAGAUGUCUCGAGUACCGUAUGCAUCAGCAGUGGGAAGUUUAAUGUUCGCUAUGAUAUGUACAAGACCGGACAUUGCACAAGCAGUGGGAACAGUCAGUCGAUACACGGUUGAUUUUGUAGGUCAUACCAAAAAAGUUCCCAUAUAUCUAUAUCAUCUUCAUCUUCAGCAUAUUCACAAUUAUCCAUUAAAAUUUUGCCUCCGCUCUUUGAAUAAGCCAAUGGUUUCACAUAAUCGCCAACUCUCCGGGGAACAGAAAAAGCUUCUGUCCAAGAUUCCUUCAUUACCCACACAUUGACAGGUCGUGAAUGAUCAUACAAGCAACAGAAAUAGAGACGUCCACUAAGAGUACCCACAAACAUAACAAGUACUUCGUUUCUAUUCUCUAGAUGAGGCAGUGGCACUUCGUGAAAUUCCUCACUUUUUAGAUCAAACGCGACAAUCAGAUUUGCAAUAUCAUCUUCAGGAUUGUUCGUGACCAACCAAUGCACAUGACCAUCCGCAAAUGUACCAUUCCAAGGGCGUCGACUCUGAUCCGUCUCGAAGAAUUAGAUCUCAAACUAUAAACAUCAACUUCAGUAUAUUCGACACUUUCUCUGUCAAUAUCGGCUGCAUCUAGAAGCUGCAUCUAGAAGCUUUACAUAAACAAAGAAUGGUGGCACAUGGCUUUGAAGAUGGAACACGGUUUUCACCCACCAAGCUUUGAUGAACACGGUUUUGAAGAAGAUUUUGAUACCCACGGCUUUGACUUUCUUGGCCAUCAUUUUGCUAUAAAUACAAGUGCAAAUGAAGAGCUUAUUCAUUCCAUUUUUAGAGAGCAAUUUAGGGAGUUGAGGGAGAGUUCAAGAGCUUGCAUUUAUAAGCUCUUGUUAUAGUGAUUGAGAGAGUUUGGGUGUAUUGGGGUUUUUGGGAAGUGAGCUAAAAUACUACAAUACUUGUAACUCCUUUUCACUAGUAAAAUAUUUUCCUUCUGUCUUCGCCCGUGGAUGUAGGCUAAAAGCCAAACCACGUAAUUUCUGGUAUCCUCUAGUGUGCUUGUUCUUUAUUUUCUUCCAAUUUUAUUUUAGCUGCGUGUCUGCUUCACCCACCAAUUUCCUAACAUUCUCUACCAAAUUGUAUAAGUCUAACAACUUUGUAGUCAUCAUUAACAGCAUCAUAACCAAACCCAUCAAAAACCACAUAAACAUUAUCUUUCAAAUCACUCCAAAACUCGGGUAACAUUACAUGUUCCUUGGUUGCUGGAUUCCACAAAGCUAUGUCAUUUUCAUCAUUUUGCAGAGCAAUUAAUCCAUUGCAAGAAUCAAUCAUUAGAGUCUCUCCUUUGCAAUUCUUAAAAGGGUGAUCAAGUUCUAGACCAAGAUUCAAACAAUCCAAGCUUGCGGAGAAGAUUUUACCGUCCCAGUAACAUGAUGAGGGUAAGAUAGAAGCUGGUGUACCUGAAAGAAUGAGGCUGAGAUUGGAGUUGGUUUCAAUGGAGCGUUUGAGAUGGAUCUUAAUGAACUCCUGGCUGUCGAUUAAGCUACAGAAUGACUUCGACACGCACUUGAAGCGCAGCAGACACUUAACAGAUAGUCGGCUUAAUAUGUCCAUGUUUAUAUCCGUCGGAAGCUUCGCCAUUGUUAGACUGAUAACUGAAAUCUAGCGCUUGAUAUAACGAGCAAUUCAACACGUCUUCUGAACUCAGAUUCAACAGCAAAUAUCAUCAUGUGAGCUAACUUGAGAGAAAUCAAACCUUGCUUGUUAGCAAGCUGCGGGUUGAGUGCCGCAACUUGAGGAAUUAUCGAAAUGGAUCGUGUGUCACAGAAAUUAUCAUGUCGGUUGAGUUCUAUGAGAAAUAAAUGUUUAAAUCAGGCCUCUAGGUAAAAUGAGUUUCAACAUUAUCAAGUUUUCGAACCGUUAAGCAAUUAAACGCAUGAUACAGAAAACCUCUAUAAAAUAAAAUUGUUGGAAUGUAAAAGAAAAAAGAUUAUCUUAGCGAGAAUAUUUGUUUAUCCAUAAAUAAAUAAUUUAUUAAUUUAUCAGAAAAUAAAUGUUUGCUAAUUUAUGAAGAGUUUUAUAUUUAAAUUACUUGUGUCAUCUUAGUAUGUGUACUGCUCCUUUAACCAAGAUUUAUGUAUGAAUUUCAAAAGUUGUCAUGUAUAUCCAAAAGAUAUUAAUAAAUGUUAGAACAUCUACAUAGUAACCUAAAAAAUUAACGUAAGUACAUUAUAUGUAGACAUAAAAUUGACGCACAUACUUUUAAAAUUCAAUAGCCUAGAAGAUAAAAUAUUUCAGCUGUAUAAAGUUAUUGAACAUAAACCCAUUAAUACAUCGAUUUUUAGUAUCAAAUCAUUAGAUGCAUACUUUGGAAAAUAGUUUAAUUAAAAAAAUUGAGGUUGUCAAUAAAAAAACUUCUUAAUAAUAUGAAUUUUAUAUAUUAAAUAAAUUAAUAAUUUUAUAUUUGAGUACUUAUUAAUUUAUAUUUUCAUUGGGUCCUCAAGGAUUCAAAAGAAUAUCAUAAGAGUCAGACUGUUGACGCCCAUUUAUUAAUUUCAUAAAAUCUCUACCUUGUUUAGGGAUAGCAAAAUUACCCACAAACCUACCCAAACCCACCAGCAAAAACCCUCCCGCUGCAGGUAAUUUUGUGGGUUGCGGAUAAGUUUGGUAUUUCAACUUAAAUCCACUGCGGGUUACGGAUUGAUUUGGUAUUAAGAAAAAAUUUGUUGGGUACCAGCGCGGGUAUCCACCAACCCACAUUCUCUAUUUUAAUUAUUUAUAUUUUUUAUUUUAAUCAAAAAAAUAACAUAAAAAUUUUAAUCAUAAAUAUAUUUAACUUUAAAGUUUUUCAUUCCUAAAUCUAACUUUUUUUCACAUUAUUGAUUAUUGUUAUUUUUGGGACGCUAGCUAGUGUUCUUGAGUUUCGUGGAGUAACAAAGUUUGAAGAGAAUGAUAGAGAUAUGCAUUAAGUCCAUUAUUUAUGGAAUUGGUAUCUUAUAGCAAGUCUAGUUAAAUUAGGAUUUUAUUUAUUGCAUAUCUUGUAAUAGCAAUUAAUUAAAUUAAUUCCCUAAUUAAAUGAUAUUCUAAUUUAUUAUGAUUAUUUGUUUCCUAGUUUUAUUAGAUGUCAAAUUUAGCAAGUCAAUUAAUAACGGAAUUCUAUAAUUAGCGUUUAAGAUUUAUUUAAAGUAAGAAGCUGGUUCAAACAAUAAGUUUAUUAAAUGCUCUAGAUAUUUCUUGGGAGACAAGCAAGGCAAGAAUAUCAUAUUUAUUCCUAUUCAGAUUCAUAGGAAUUAUAAGAGAAAAUAAACUCUUAUUUGGAAAGAAUCCAAGUUUUUUAAGACUUGCAAUUUUUGUGAAACUCUAGUGCUUAUAUAAAGAGAGGUAUUUAAUAAUUGAACGAGUACAACACAAAGCAUAAAGCAGGGAAGCAAAAUUCGGCCUCCUCCUUAGAGAAUCCGGAUUUAGUGCAUAACGUUGUGUUGAUUUGUUUUCCUAUCUUCUUCAUUCAAAGUCUUGUAAUGAAACUAUUUCUUUUCAUCUAUGUGGAUCUUAGAUCACUAGACAUUAAAGAAUUAAAAAAUUGUUAUUAAUCACUUUGCGAAGUGCCUUGAGGAUCGUGGAUCAAGAGAAGUAGCAAUUAUUCAAGAAAAACAGAUUUAGACUAUAGUUGAGUAAGCUGUAUGGUGAUAAAUUGUAAGUGAGAGUCUUAAGUUUGGUAAAUUCAUAGGUUGUAACAUCUCAACUUAGUGAAUUGCUUUAUAUCGGGGCGUGACCUCAUAAAUGUAGGAUGGAUUAGUCCAAACCAUGUAAAAAUAUCCGUGUUGUUUAAUUUCUACAAUUUAUUUUAUUUUGAAAAAAUAAUAUUUUUAAUGCGGAUGAACAAUAAUAGUGAACAGUAACUGCAAACAGUGAGCGUGAGUAGUAACUCUGAACAAUUUUAGUAAACAGUAUUUUUAAAAAUUAAUUAAAUUGUUAAUUUUAGGGUUUUAACUGUCUACAUCUAUUUGCAAUAAAUCUAAAUUGCUUUCGAUAUGGAGAUUGUAGAAGAAUUAUAAGAGUGAUAAAGUCAUUGAAAAUUGAAAGAUAUAAAAAAUUUAACAAUGAAAAUAAUUUUUAUUUAAGAACAAGUCAUACAACAGUCCCAACUACUCAAAUUAGUGAAAUCAAUUCGAGGAUUCAAUAAGAAAAAAAAAAUCUGGCUGUUGCACAAGCAUUGCAAAGUUACAUAUUUUCUUUUCAUCAUUUGGGAAUUUUGUCACCUGAUAGAUACUUAUUUCAACUCGGAAAAAAAUUUGUCAACAGAUAGAUAGUUUGUUCUCAAAGUCUUUUAUACUCAUAAUAUAAGAUUGAAUGCCAUAGAAAAAAAAAUGUAUUUCCGACAUUAGGUGGAAUAUAAUGAAAAAAAGGCUUCUAAGAGGAUUUUGAAAGGGUCUAAUAGUUCAACUUAAGUUAUUAUUUAUUUAUUUAGUGAGACCAAAAGAUUUUUUUUUUUAAAUUUAAUUAAGGUUAUUAAUUUAUUGAACAUUUAUUUAUCAAAGUUUUACUGUAAUUGCAAAACAACUUGUCAAGUAUUCAUGGUGAUACUGGUAACUGCACAUAGAGUAGUUACCAUAUCAAGAUAUAGACAAUUGCCCGGCAGAAAGAUAGAUUUUAUUCUUGCCUAUGUUCACGUUGACAGUCUCUUAAAAUAUAUUUUAAAGUGCUGUAAAAUAUUUUGUAUGCAUCUGCACAAAAUUUUGUGCCGCAACUGACCAUGACUCACUGUAUAUGUGUGCUCAAGAUAAAACCAAAGUAAUUUGGGAAAUUUACAAAAAUAACCAUAAAAUUUUUGUUAUUUUCACAAUUAACCCUCUCAACUUUUUUCUAUCAACAUUAGCCAAACACACGCUUUUCUUCCCAAAUUACCCUUCUUUACAAACCAAAACAACUUUCGUCAAAACUUGGUGCGACAGGCACCUAUCGCACCAAGUACCAAGCCUUGCUUGGUGCGACAGGCGUCUGUCACACCAAAACUUGGUGCGACAGGCACCUGUCGCACCAAGUGCCAAGCCAAGCUGGAUGAAGAAGAUGACACCCACAUAAGCACCCGAGUUGCCGGAACAAUGUGAGUCGCUGCAUACUAAUUUCUCAUCAAUGUUUUCCACUUUCCUUCUCAUACAUUAUAUAUGAAUUUAAUAUUCAAAUUCACGACUUUGUAGUGGAUAUAUGGCACCAGAAUAUGCAACACGGGGCCAUUUAACAGAGAAAGCGGAUGUCUAUAGUUUCGGAAUUGUUGCCUUAGAAAUUGUCAGCGGUAGAAGCAACGUUUUUUNNNNNNNNNNNNNNNNNNNNNNNNNNNNNNNNNNNNNNNNNNNNNNNNNNNNNNNNNNNNNNNNNNNNNNNNNNNNNNNNNNNNNNNNNNNNNNNNNNNNNNNNNNNNNNNNNNNNNNNNNNNNNUGUGUGCCAGUGCUUCUCCUACAAAUAGGCCUUCAAUGUCUUCGGUCUUAAGCAUGCUCGAAUGCGGUGUUGAUGUUCCAGAUUUAGUUCCAGAUUCAAGUAUCUCAUAAGUUGAUGAAACCAAGUCAGAAGCAAUGAGGAGAUAUUAGCACGUCGUAAAUUUAUGGGCCACCUACACGUUCUUCCACGUCUGGAGCUGACCUCUAUCCAUUCAGUGUGGAUUCCGACCGAUUAUUGUAAUAACUCAGAUUAGAGAAUUAUGCUUGAAUGCUGUGUGUAUAUUUUCUUCUCAUUCUAUCUUCUUUUCUUCUUUCUCAACAUAAAUGUUAAAGACAUUCAGCAUAUAACUCCGAAAUGGAGCGUGUUUCUACUGCUGCCAUGGCUGAUUUAAAAGCCAUCGCCGACUGCAUGAUAUCGGCCGGCUACGGGAAGGAGUGUUGGGGGAGAGAUGAGAGAGAGGGGUAUUUUAGUCUCAAAGGCUUUUUUAUGGCUAAUGUUGAUAGAAGUUUGUUUGGGGGGUUAAGAUGGAAAAAGCCAAAAUUUUUAUGGCUAUUUUUGUAAAUUUCCCAAGUAAUUUGAACCAACGUCCUAAUUGUAUCAUGACAAGGUUUCUUAAUAUUCUCAGUAUUAAUUAGAUUACUUGGAAUAGCCUUAAUAAUCUAGGCACCCAUCAAUUUUGUGCGCUAAAAUAUUUAGAUCCUCCGUAGAAUUAGGAGGCUCGUUAGUUCAUUAAUUUGAAGUAAUCAAUCCAAUUCACUCAGGACUAGGAUUGUAAUUCUACACUUGUAAAAACUAUCUAGAAAAAGAAAAAAAAAAAAAGACAACUGCCCUAUUAUUUGAUCACAACACAAAUAAUUGGUUGUGUCAAGCCUACCCAACCCUACAUAAAUCUUAAGAUCUUAUGAGCCCAGAGACCAGGGAUUUUGAUACAGCUUACCAACCUUCAUAAUGUGACAGAUGCUAUGGGGAACCCAGAUUACAACUCUUUGCCAUGGUUAUGGUUCUGAAAAAUGUAGACUGUUGAGGAAGUGAAUUUCUGAAAUAUCUUUUAACCAAUAGCAAGUAGAUUACUUUCAGACAAAAAUGUCAAACAACUCAGUAUCUUGAGAAUCAAAAUUACUGCCAAUCCCUUUAAAAAUAAAAAAUAAAAAAGGUUACUUAAUUCACCUCAAAUCAGAAUAAGUGGACUGAAACAACGGCUUCACUGUAGUCAAUUCAAGCAUCGGUCAAAAGUAUUUUCACAAAUCUAUUUGCAAGUAAAAAGCUUCUUAAACUAUCUACACAUCAAAGAGAUAAUAUGACAGAAUCUGGCCUUCAACAAGCACAACUCUGAUGUGUGCUACAAAAAGUAUUCAUGGUCAGACCUUUUGAUGUCCAUCAUAACCACCAGACUUUCAAUGACUAACCAAGCUUCCCCAGUCCAAUAGUCGCCCUAAACCUAAAAAAGACGAAAAAAAUUGGACAAAUACAAAUAAUUUCAGAAUAUAGAAAAGAUUAAUUAGCAAAAAAAAAAAAAAUCAGAUUAUUUUAACCCCUCAAGAUGUUCUAUGUGCAUUAGAUUGAGCAAUUAUCCACACUGUUUAGUGGUCUUAUUCCAGUUUGAAGCAAUAUUAACCAUCUGGCAACAUGUUAGUGAUGGAUAGGGACAAAUCAUAAUCAGUCUUCUCAAGACAAUAUUUAUCUCUCUAGGAAUCAGAAGGGCUCUAUAGUAUAGAUCAUUUGAGAAAGUCAUUCAUCUGCUUCAAUCGAGAGAAAAAUAAAAGCUAGCCUAGAUUAUGUUGCGAGAUAGAGUAAAUCCAUUAUCAUGAACACUAAAGUGAUUAGUAUUCAAGUGAUCAAGUAUUGUAAUUGCUUGCGCAAAAAUGUUAUAACUUCAUGUUACUUUACCUCUUGUAACUCAUUCUUCCUUCUCUGCCUGCCACGCCACUUCCUGCAUAAGCAGCUAGUGAAACAAGACUAUCCAUACAAACAAUUGUAUCACGACAACCUUGCGGGACACCACCAUGAAUCGUCACUUGAUCAGCAGCUCUCUGAUUUUGUGGGUCAUACCAACAAAGUUCCCAUCUAUUUAUAUCUUCAUCUUCACCAUACUUAAACUUAUCCACUAGAACUUUGUCUUCACUCUUUGAAUAAGCCAAUGCUUUCACAUAAUCACCAACACUUCGGUGAAAAGAAAAAGCCUUAGUCCAACACCCCUUCAAUACCCAUAUAUCGACAGGUUGUGGAUAAUUACAAAGGCAACUGAAAUAGAGACAUCCACUGAAAUUGCCCACAAACAUAACAAGGACGUCGUUUUUAUUCCCUAGAUGAGGCAGUGGCACCUCGUGAAAUUCCUCACUUUUUAGAUUAAAUGCGAUGAUCAGAUUUUCAAUAUAAUCUUCAGGAUUUUUCGUUACCAACCAAUGUACAUGACCAUCCGCAAAUUUACCAUCCCAACCGUGAAGAAUAGAGUAAGGGAAGUCGACUCUGAUCCGUCUCCAAGAAUUAGUUCUCAAACUAUAAACAGAAACUUCAGUAUACUCGACAUUUUCUCUAACAAAGUGUACAAGUCUGACAACUUUGUAGUCAUCAUUAACAGCAUCAUAACCAAACCCAUCAACAACCAUGUAAACCUUAUCUUUCAAAUCACCCCAAAACUUGGGUAGUAUUAGAUGUUCCUUGGUUGAUGGAUUCCAAAAAGCUAUGCCAUUUUCAUCAUUUUUGAGAGCAAUCAAUCCAUUGCAAGAAUCAAUAAUUGGAGUCCUCCCUUUGCAAUUCUUAAAAGGGUGAUCAAGUUCUACACCAAGAUUCAAAGAAUCCAAGCUUGCGGAGAAGAUUUUACCGUUCCAGUAGCGUGAUGAGUCUAAGAUAGGAGCUGGUGUACCUGAAAGAAUGAGGCUGAGAUUGGAGUUGGUUUCAAUGGAGCGUUUGAGAUGGAUCUUUAUGAAUUCUUGGCUGUCGAUUAAGCUACAAAACGACUUCGACACGCACUUGAAACGCAGCAGAGACUUAACAGGUAGCCGGCUUAGUAUGUCAAUGUUUAUAUCCGUCGGGAGCCUCGCCAUUGUUAGCCGUAGUUACAGGCAGCAAUGAACACAAGAUGUUUGAUAAAAUGCUUAACAAAGGGUUGUGGGUUUUUGGCUUUUCGCUCUCUCAGAAUUAGCCGUGAAUGAGAUGAACUUUCAGCUUCCGUGAAAUUGUGUUUCCUCUUCUUUUUCCAUAUAUCUUAUAAUAUAUAUAGUUUUUUUUUUCAGUUAUUAAUAGUGUUUGGUUUUAUAUUUGCAUCAAGAAAAUUAACCUUUUUUUUUUCAUUUAUAUCUCAAAUCAGGGCCUUUCCAUAAGUUUCUAUCAUAAGUUUUCAAUAAUUAUAAUUAAAAAUAAAAUCAUUUACUUAAAUUUUUUAUUUUAAAUUAACAAGAUUUAAAAACUUUCUGAGAAUUAUUAUUAUUAUUAUUAUUUAUCCUCAUUCAUCAUUUCGUUAACAAAAUAUUCUGACUACAAUUACGUAACUGACAAAUAUUAUGCUUUAUGUAGCAUAAAACUCAACACAUCUUCUAAAUUCAGAACAAUUGCAAAUAUUAUCAUUCGGGCAAAAUUGGGAGAAAUCAAAUCUUGCUUGUUGGCAAGUUUUAAGCGGCUCGAGAAGUUAUCUAUGCGGAUCAUGUGUCCCAUUUAUCAAUCAACGUUUUUAAGUCAGGCCUCGAGGCUAAAAUGAUUUCAAUAUAACAAAGCUUCGAGCUGCGAAAGCUUCAAGCAAUUUAGUACGUGAUAAUUGCAAAACAACUUUACAAGGUUUUAUGGUCAUACUAAUAAUUAAUUGCACAUACAGUAGAUGCUGUUCUAACAAAUCCCAAGUUAACAAAACAUAUUCGCCCAAAAAUCAGGGACGUAGCCAGGAAUUAAAUUGAUCUGGGGCGCACUAAAAAUGUAGUAUAAUUUUGAAAAUUUAUAUUACAACACAUAGAAUCGCAAUAUAAUAUAAAUUGAUAAUAAAUUUUGAAAAUUUAGAUAACAAUACAUAGAAUUGCAACUAUAAUAUAAAUUAAUAAUAAAUUUACUUAUUACAAUUGUUCUAAUCAAGAAUUCCCCAACGAGAUUUCAUGCGUUGAAAAUGCUGUAAAAUAAUUUCAUUAUCAAUACAAUCAAAUACAUCUUUUUCAAUGUACACAACCAGAUUAUCAUUCAACCAUUCAUCUUCCAUUCAACUUCGUAGUCGAUUCUUCACAUAAUUCAUAGCUGAAAAAACUCUUUCAACAGUGGUAGUGGCAACUGGUAAAACUAAUGCUAAUGUGACUAAUAAAUAGACCAAUGAAAACACCUUGUGCUUAUUAGUCUCAACCAUUUUUUGUGCAAGAUCACAAAUCAUGUUUAAUCCUGAAAACUCAACACUAGACUGCAUAUCCAUUAUGUAAACAUCAAGUUAAGUAUCUAGUGCCAUGAGAUCAAUUGGAGAAAAAUCUUUUAGAUAAAAUUGAGCAAGGCGCAAUAACGUUUCUUUAUUGAAAGCUGCAAAUAAAUCUUUUGGACAUAAACAAGCCAAGCACAUAAGUAAUUUAGUGUUUACCUCAUUAAAACGACUGUUUAACUCUUGAAGUUGCAUAUCCAAACAACUUUGUAGUCAUCAUUAACAGCAUCAUAACCAAACCCAUCAACAACCAUGUAAACCUUAUCUUUCAAAUCACCCCAAAACUUGGGUAGUAUUAGAUGUUCCUUGGUUGAUGGAUUCCAAAAAGCUAUGCCAUUUUCAUCAUUUUUGAGAGCAAUCAAUCCAUUGCAAGAAUCAAUAAUUGGAGUCCUCCCUUUGCAAUUCUUAAAAGGGUGAUCAAGUUCUACACCAAGAUUCAAAGAAUCCAAGCUUGCGGAGAAGAUUUUACCGUUCCAGUAGCGUGAUGAGUCUAAGAUAGGAGCUGGUGUACCUGAAAGAAUGAGGCUGAGAUUGGAGUUGGUUUCAAUGGAGCGUUUGAGAUGGAUCUUUAUGAAUUCUUGGCUGUCGAUUAAGCUACAAAACGACUUCGACACGCACUUGAAACGCAGCAGAGACUUAACAGGUAGCCGGCUUAGUAUGUCAAUGUUUAUAUCCGUCGGGAGCCUCGCCAUUGUUAGCCGUAGUUACAGGCAGCAAUGAACACAAGAUGUUUGAUAAAAUGCUUAACAAAGGGUUGUGGGUUUUUGGCUUUUCGCUCUCUCAGAAUUAGCCGUGAAUGAGAUGAACUUUCAGCUUCCGUGAAAUUGUGUUUCCUCUUCUUUUUCCAUAUAUCUUAUAAUAUAUAUAGUUUUUUUUUUCAGUUAUUAAUAGUGUUUGGUUUUAUAUUUGCAUCAAGAAAAUUAACCUUUUUUUUUUCAUUUAUAUCUCAAAUCAGGGCCUUUCCAUAAGUUUCUAUCAUAAGUUUUCAAUAAUUAUAAUUAAAAAUAAAAUCAUUUACUUAAAUUUUUUAUUUUAAAUUAACAAGAUUUAAAAACUUUCUGAGAAUUAUUAUUAUUAUUAUUAUUUAUCCUCAUUCAUCAUUUCGUUAACAAAAUAUUCUGACUACAAUUACGUAACUGACAAAUAUUAUGCUUUAUGUAGCAUAAAACUCAACACAUCUUCUAAAUUCAGAACAAUUGCAAAUAUUAUCAUUCGGGCAAAAUUGGGAGAAAUCAAAUCUUGCUUGUUGGCAAGUUUUAAGCGGCUCGAGAAGUUAUCUAUGCGGAUCAUGUGUCCCAUUUAUCAAUCAACGUUUUUAAGUCAGGCCUCGAGGCUAAAAUGAUUUCAAUAUAACAAAGCUUCGAGCUGCGAAAGCUUCAAGCAAUUUAGUACGUGAUAAUUGCAAAACAACUUUACAAGGUUUUAUGGUCAUACUAAUAAUUAAUUGCACAUACAGUAGAUGCUGUUCUAACAAAUCCCAAGUUAACAAAACAUAUUCGCCCAAAAAUCAGGGACGUAGCCAGGAAUUAAAUUGAUCUGGGGCGCACUAAAAAUGUAGUAUAAUUUUGAAAAUUUAUAUUACAACACAUAAAAUCGCAAUAUAAUAUAAAUUGAUAAUAAAUUUUGAAAAUUUAGAUAACAAUACAUAGAAUUGCAACUAUAAUAUAAAUUAAUAAUAAAUUUACUUAUUACAAUUGUUCUAAUCAAGAAUUCCCCAACGAGAUUUCAUGCGUUGAAAAUGCUGUAAAAUAAUUUCAUUAUCAAUACAAUCAAAUACAUCUUUUUCAAUGUACACAACCAGAUUAUCAUUCAACCAUUCAUCUUCCAUUCAACUUCGUAGUCGAUUCUUCACAUAAUUCAUAGCUGAAAAAACUCUUUCAACAGUGGUAUUCUUUAUUGAAAGCUGCAAAUAAAUCUUUCUUGAAGUUGCAUAUCCAAAAUAGUACAAAAUAGGUCAAUGCGAUAAUGAUGCAUAUUUGUGAUCUCUUGUGCUCUAUGCCUUGAUCUUCCAGGGGUUAGAAACAUAUUUUCCAUGACAGGAACAAUAAUAAAAUGCUUCUCACAAAAUGAAGAAACUUGACUAAGCAAAGAAUUUCAUCCAUGUUCCCUCAUCCUUUGUAGACCUAGUUUGUAAAUACUAACUAAUUUCAUGGAAUUCACAAAAUCUUGAUCUUUCCUUUGUAAUGCUUGUGACAAAUCAUUUGCAAAACCAAGAAUAUUUUUCAUCAAGUAUAAAGUAAACACAAAAUCAAAUGUUUGCAUGAACUUCAAAUUUAAGCUAUAUAAUAAAAUUAGCAAUUUUAAAAUAGAAAAAAUAAUGAAAUAAAAAAUUAGAAUUAAAAAACAUCACGCGCAUGGUGACGAUCAGGGAGCACUGCAAAUCGCCUAAUCUGCUAUGGAGUCCACCCACCACACUUUAUUUCAUGGAACUAUGGAAGAGACGAGAGAAAGCGGAAAGCUAAGAUUUUACUUAUUUUAAUUAAUUUUUUAAUGAAUUUCAUUUGAUAAAGGUUCUCUCAUUUGUCUUUAUUGAUUUUUAUGAUAUUAUAAUAGUUAAUCAAAUUAUUUAGAAUUAGACAUUUAAGUUAGGGGCAACGUGAAAUAUUUUUAAAAUUGUGUGGGCACUUUCAGAGUUUUAAAAUUUACGUGGGGCAUUUUGAUAAAUAAUAAAUAAAAUAUAUUUUUUUAAGAAAACCAUCAAAAAAAAUUUUGAAAGCCAGCUGGGGCAUGUGCCCCACCUAGUCCGAUGCUGGCUCCGCCUCUGCCAAAAAUGGAUACACGACAACUGCAUUUGCAAUGCACGUGCAUGCUUCACCUGCUUCUUUAUAAGCCAAACGUGGUUAAUUAUCAAAGCAACAACAAGCUACCACCUUCAUGCAAGGCACGUGCUUGCUUCACUUGCAUGCUUUACUGGCGUGCUUGAGUCGGUGGCCAUAUAUAAUUUGAAGGAAUUGAAAGCAGCUCUCAUUUUGCAUCAAUUUUCGAAUUGAGACAGAGAAAAAAAAAAGAAUAAAACCCGAGAGAAAAAGAGAAGCGGAAAUAAAAGAAAAAGAAGAAAAGAAAUAAAAGAAAGGAGGAAGCUGAGAGUGGGAAAAGAAGUUUAAAAGAUGAAUUGAGAGGGAAUGUUGCAAGAAAUGAAAUUGAACAGUUAGAUUAAUAUCCAAUGAAUUAGUGGGUAAUAGAUGUGUGAAAUUUGAACAGUUAUGUUACAGUUUUCAUGAUACGUAUAAAUUUUUAUAUAAGUUUUAAUAGUUAAUUUUUGAAUCUCGUAUUUUAGGAGGAAUUCGAGAAUCCAUAACUCAUAAGAGCCCCAACGAACCUCGGAGUAAAACAUGAUCUGUGAGUAGAUACUAUUAUUACUAUUAUAUAUUCCAUGAAGCAUUUAUUUUUUAUAGUAUUAUUUAAUAUCAUGUUAUGAUUACAUGUACAGAUAUUACAUGUUUGAUUGAGUUAUGAGAUGUGAUUGUCAAUCACCAUAUGUGUACCAUUUCCAUAAGUUAUGCACAUGCAUAUUGGGAGUUAGGUUACUCUACAUGUGCGAUGUAAUUAAAUUCCGCUGAGUAUUGAGAGGUUUUCCCCCGUUCUACUCGUGCGAUAAUGAUCUUGACCCCCCUAGGUACUACUUGGUGCAGUUUUGUCAUGUAUGUAUGAUUUUCAUAUUUACUUAUGCAUUACAUUUAGUAUGGAGUUAUGUCACAUGAUUAUGUAUAUACCCUCAUACGCUACUUUAUUUUUCUAUAUAAAAAUUAUAUCCACUCACUGAGCCGCAAGUUCAUUAUUUUCCUAUUUAUCUCUUAUUUUCCCAAGAUUCUGCAGGAUUUUGUGCAGAUCAGUUUUAUUCAAUUGAGGUUGGGUCACGAGACGCGUUGCUGCAUGUCUUGCAUUUUGAACAUUUUCAUGUUGCUUAUGUUAUUUUUAUGUAUAUAUAAUUGUAAUGGAAGUAUGUAUAAUGAGACGUGAAUUGUGCAAGUUUUGAAUGCAUAUAUAUUUUCAAAGGAGGCACGGAGAUUAUUAUGUGUCUACAAUAAAAGCCCCAUAUAUAUACAUAUAAAUUAAGUUUGUGCCACGAGUUUUGUUACUAGACCGCGUGAUUCGUCUCGGAUCCAACAUAUAAGUUAGGGCGAGUCAUGAAGCAUUAUUCUUUGAUCACAAUAUAAAUUGUAGCUUUACAGCAAUCAUGUUAGUAUGAUUUCCUUCUGUGUCGUCAGUGAUGAUGGCAGCAACACAAGUGCUUGCACGAUUUUUAUUCCCUCGUUCGUAAUUGCACGAUUUUUUGUUUUUUAUUUUUAACAUUCCUUAAAAAUGACCAAUUUCCACAAACAAAUGUGUAACUCUUUGAUUCUUCUUAAUCCUAAGUGAAGUGGGUAUCCAAGAAACUUGAGGAAAUUAAAUGAAUUAAUUCCUGUUUAACUAAGAGAACUAUAAGGCAAGGCUAGGCUAAGGGCACUUGAAAUUUGUUUCCUAAUUAUUCUAAAACGCCCUUGAUCAUGAAAUAACGUUUUAGCCGCCAAGUAAUCAGUCUAAUUAGUUCUCACAUUAAUUAUUCGGAAAUCUGUUCACUUUGUCACCCAAAGAAUGUUGGAAAAAUACGAGCCCUUCACCUAACGAUUUUAGCGUUUAUAAUAUAGUUAUUUUACCUUAAAUUAUUACUACUAUUAUUAUUUUCUUUUGUUACGAAGUAUUUAGUGGAGUAAGUACAGUUGCCAAGUUCUAAUUGUAUCAGGACAAUAUUUCGAUUAAUUUAUUCUAUAUACACUUCAUAAGCGGGAUAGCCACAGCAUUAACCGUAAAGCUUUCGUGAACAUCUUUGUUUGAUUUCUUUCGUAUCGCUUGUCUAUUAAUCAUACAAUGACGAUGGUCGACAAUCAAAACGGUGCCGCAGCAGUAGCAGCACAAGUAGUGAUUCCGGAGAUGCCAGCUAGUUUCAAGAACAGGAUUGAGGAGAUGGGUUGUUCAAACGUUGUGCUAGUCAUUCAGAAACGAUUGACCAAAAGUGAUACAAGAGGCCAAUACAUCGAAUCUCCAUACCAGAAGGACAAAUAAUGAGUGAUUUUCUUGAGGCGGAGGCGGAGUUACUUGUUGAUACAAACCAACCAAUGCAUAAUGUCAGAUUGAUCCACCCAUGUGUGAGUAAGGUGACUGACGAAUGUGACAUUGAAGAAGUGGCAACUUACAAUCUCACUGGUACUUGGCAUAAACAAGUUGUAGGCGACGCUGAGAAUGCUCUUCAAGAUGGAACCAUGGCGCAAUAAUAAAUUAUUCAGAACAAUAAUAGUCAGCUUUGUUUUGUUCUUGUUAAUUUAGAUCUUAAUUAGUGGAUAUUCAGAUUAACUAAUUAAGUUUCAUUCUAUUAUAUAUAAAUUAUUACCUUUUCAUGAAUGAAAUUCUCUCAAGUUAUUUGAUUUCACUAGUGUGGUUUUGAUUCACCAGCUUCAAAUUCUAUAUAUAUAUAUAUAUAUAUAACCUUAAGGCACUUUUGCCUUUUAGGUACUGCAAUCAGGAAUAUUCAUCCGUUAACUAUGGUCAACCAUCAACUUAUAAGUCAAACUAACGGAAUGGGAUUCCGUAAUGAGUUUCCAAAAUUCUGAGAGAAAUUUGACGAAUGUUGAUUUAAAAGGGGGUUGAGCAAAAUUUAACCUGAAAGGUAACCUUCCUUUUUAAAUCCUUCAGUGAAUCAGUAGUAAUCCACAGUGGACAGAAAGAAAUAAAGAGUCAUACAAGCAUGUCAAUCUAAGAAAAUAACAAGCGUUUUUCAAAAGUACUUUCACAACUCUGUUUGCAAGUAAAAGCUUCUAAAACUAUCUACGCAGCAAAGAGAUAAUACGACAGAAUCUGGCUUUCAACGAGCAUAACUUUGAUGUGUGCCACAAAAAAGUGUUAAUGAAACCUUUGCAUUGUCCAUCAUAACCACAAGCUUCCCAAUCCAAUAGCCAUCCUAAACCUGAAAAAAACGAAAAACACCAGACAAAUACAUAUAAUCUCAGAAUAUAUAAAAAAAAAAUCAGAUUAUUUUAACUCCCCAAAAUGUCCUACGUGAGUUAAGAUUGAACAAUCAUUCACUCUGUUUCAUGGUCUCUUAUUCCAAUUUGAAGCAAUAUUAACCAUCAGGCUAUACGUAAGUGCUGUGAAGAAUGCACGGGGACAAAUCAUAAUCAGCCUAGUCAAGACAAUACUUAUCUCUCUAGGAUUCAGAAGGGCUCUAUAGUAGAGACCACAUGAGAAAGUCAUUUAUCUAUCCUGCUUCAAUAGUGAUAAAAACAAAAGUAAACAACCUUAGCCUAGAUUAUGCUGCGAGAUAGAGUGAAUCCAUAAUUAUGAAAACUAAAGGGACUAGCAUUCAAGCGAUUAAGUAUUGUACUUGCUCGAGCAAAAAUAUCAUAACUUCACGCUGUUUUACCUUUUCUAACUCAUUCUUCCUUCUCUGCCUGCCACACCUCUUCCUGCACAAGCAGCUAGUGAAACAAGACUAUCUACACAAACAAUUGUAUCACGACAACCUUGCGGCACACCAUGAAUCGUCACUUGAUCCGCAGCAGCUCCCUGGUUUUGUAGGUCAUACCAAAAAAGUUCCCAUCUAUUUAUAUCUUCAUCUUCACCAUACUCAAACUUAUCCACUAAAACUUUGCCUCCGCUCUGUGAAUAAGCCAAUGCUUUCACAUAGUCACCAACACUUCGGGGAAAAGAAAAAGCUUUAGUCCAGCACCCCUUCAAUACCCAUAUAUCGACAGGCUGUGGAUAAUUACAAAGGCAACUGAAAUAGAGACAUCCACUGAAAUUGCCCACAAACAUAACAAGUACGUCGUUUCUAUUCUCUAGAUGAGGCAGUGGCACUUCGUGAAAUUCCUCACUUUUUAGAUUAAAUGCGACGAUCAGAUUUUCAAUAUAAUCUUCAGGAUUGUUCGUUACCAACCAGUGUACAUGACCAUCCGCAAAUGUACCAUCCCAACCGUGAAGAAUAUAGUAAGGGAAGUCGACUCUGAUCCGUCUCCAAGAAUUAGUUCUCAAACUAUAAACAGCAAUUUCAGUAUAUCCAACAUUUCCUAUAACCAAUUGUACAAGUCUGACAACUUUGUAGUCAUCAUUAACAGCAUCAUAACCAAACCCAUCAACGACCGUAAAAUCUUUCAAAUCACCCCAAUACUUGGGUAGUAUUAGAUGUUCCUCGGUUGAUGGAUUCCACAAAGCUAUGUCAUUUUCAUCAUUUUUUAGAGCAAUCAAUCCAUUGCAAGAAUCGACAAUUGGAGUCCUCCCUUUGCAAUUCUUAAAAGGGUGAUCAAGUUCUACACCAAGAUUCAAAGAAUCCAAGCCUGCAGAGAAGAUUUUGCCGCCCCAGUAACGUGAUGAGGCUGAAAUAGGAGCUGGUGUACCUGAAAGAAUGAGGCUGAGAUUGGAAUUAGUUUCAAUAGAGCGUUUGAGAUGGAUCUUUAUGAAUUCUUGGCUGUCGAUCAAGCUACAAAACGACUUCGACACCCACUUGAAACGCAGCAGACACUUAACAGAUAGCCGGCUUAGUAUGUCAAUGUUUAUAUCCGUCGGGAGCCCCGCCAUUGUUAGCAGUAGCUACAGGCGGCAAUGAACACGAGAUGUUUGAUAAAAUGCUUGAGAUAGGGUUAUGGAUUUUUUCUGUCUCAGAACUAGGCAACUGCCCCCAGUGUGCUGCUUGUAGUUUUAGCCGUGAAUAGUAACUCCGAGCUUCGGUGAAAAAGAAAGGGAAAAAUUAUAUAUGUAUAUAGUUUUCACUUUUUCACAAAAUUAAUAGUGUUCGGUUUUAUUUGUUUUAGAAAGAAUAAUCUUUUUUUUUAAUAUCUCAAAUUAGGCCACCUUGUAAGUUUACUAUUAUAAGUUUUCGCCAAUUAAAAUUAAAACUAUUACUUUUUUUUUAAUUUAAAAUUGAUUGUUUAUGCUGUUCAGAUUCACCAUUCCAUUAUAAUCCAAUCUGAUUGCAAGUCAUUAUGAUUACGAGUACCUAAAUGCACCAUUAUCCUCGAUAAUGGUUUUAUUUUUAGUCGGUAAAAUCUAUGACUGAUUGAUGAAAUCUAGUGCUCCAUAUAACAAUAAAUUCAACACAUCUGAAUCCAUAUUCAACAGCAAAUAAUAUCAUCCGGCUAAGUUGAAUGAAAUUAAACCUUGCUUGUUGGCAAGUUUUGUGGGUUGAGUGCCGUGAGAAGUCAUUGUUAAAAUAUAACGCCUUGAUUGUGUUAAAAAAGGUUUCCUAAAAUCUUUAGAUUCUCCUUAGAAUUAGAAUUUAGAAAGCUAGUUGAUAAAUUAAGUUUUCAAGUAUAAACCGAAUUCGCUCAGGACUAGGAUUAUAAUUUUAUACGUAUAAACAGCAGCCACAAAAAAGAUUGCUACACAACAACUGCAUUAUUCUCUAAUCACAAUUUACAAACAGUAGCUUUCCUGCAAAUUAAUAUUUCGGUUUGAUUUUCCUGGCUCUAUGUCGUCAAUGACGAUGGUGGCAGCACAAGCGGUGGUAAAGGAGAUGCCGGAAAGCUUAACAAGAUCGAGGAGAUGGGUGAUUCAAAUAUUGUGCAAGCUAGCCAUUCAGAAAUAAUUGACGCAAUCGAUUCUCCGGAGGAGGAUGAGAUUUGUCUUGAUAGAAGCCAGCUAAUGGAGAAUGUUAAGUUGAUUUAGCCAUGGGCAAGUAAGGUGGCCUAUGUGAGACUGAAGAUGUGGCGUAUGACCAGGGCUUGUUGUACUUAUAAUCUCAUUGAAACUUGGCGUAAAGGAGUUGUGGGCAACGCCGAGAAUGCUCUUCGAGAUGGAACCAUGCUGCAGCUCUGUGUUUUCAGAAGAUAUUAAUUUUAUUUAGAUCUUGUUAAUCAAUUAAUAUAUUAAUUAGUAGAUAUUCGAAUUUAUUAAUAAAGUACUCAUUAACGUAAUAUAUUACACAUUCAUUAUGAAUGCAUCUACGUACCAUUUUCUCUUUAAGAAGAAAAAGAGACAAAAAGAAAGUUUUAAAUCCCACCUCCACUAUACUGUUUCUUAAUUCGUAUCUUCUAGCAAUCAAUUGUUCGGUUCAAGAUAUUGAUUUCAUGUUAUUUUGAUUAAAAAAAAGUGAUUCUGUUCUGGGUUUAGUGAAUUUGCUUGUGCCUUCAAAACCAAAUGUAUCAAUUUGGCCACCUUCGUGACUCGUGAGUUUGCUUUAUAGGUUUUACAUUCUUUCAUCGUUCAAACAUUACAUAGGUUAUAGGUAGAACACAAGUAUACAGUACAUAUUUUCUAUUUGUGAACUGAUUUCUAUUCUAGUAAGGAUAAAAUGGUAAAUGCAUAAACUGGGAUUUUAUAAGAGUGAACAUUUGUGUCUAUAGAUAAUGAAGCUAAGCCCAAAAGUAAGACCCAGAUGUAGAACCCAUAAAAAGGCAAAAAGCCCACUUGAUGAAACCUUCCCUCGCAUUUUCACAUCCAACGACUAGGGAUGGCAAUUGUACCCGCAAACCCGCAAAACCGCCCAAAUCCAUCCGUCAAAAUCCGUCCAUUGUGGAUAAUUUUACUCGUUGCGGGCGGGUUUAAUAUUAUAAAUUAAAACCCGCACAUGGAUGCGGGUGGGUUUGGUAUUAACCUUAUAUCCGGUGGAUACCCGCAUGGAUAUCCACCAAACCCGCAAUAUUUUUUUCAAAUAUUUUUAAUUUAAUUUUAAUCUAAAAAUGUAUAAAGAAAAUAAUAUCAUUAAUUAAAUUACCAAAUAGCCAAAGGCUCAAAGUUGUGUAUGUGUGUAUGUGGCCUAUAUCCUAUUCUAAAGUCAUAAUCUAAAGAAAACUAAAGGCAUUUUCCUUCGAAUUAGUAUUUGAAAAUAUUAAUCUUAAUUAUUAUUAUAGGCAUUGUGUUGGAUGGGUGCUUAUGGUGGUGAAUGAAAUGAAUAUCUUCUCUUGGAGCUUGUUUUAAAUGAUAAUAUGAAAUGUAAUUAUUAUUUUUAGAUACUAGUUUGUGUUUUUUAAAUGGAUUUGUGUAAUUUAUACUUAAAUUUGAGAAUUUGUGUUGAAUUGAUGUGGAAAUUUUAAUUUUUCAUUUACAUUAUUUAAAUAUAAAAUUGAGUAUAUUAUAUGAAAUUUGAGGUUAUUAUUAUAAAUUUAUAUAUUAAACAUUUGUGAUUUUAAAUACGGAAACCCACAAAAAAUCCGCCGGAUACCAUUGCGGGUUUGGUAAUUGUUAAAACCCGCUGCGGGUGGGUUUUUGUAAAAAAAUUAAAACUUGCUGCGGGUUGCGAGUGGGUUUGGUAAUUUAAAUUUUGAGCGGGUUUGGAUUUGGUAAUGGCAAACCCACUGCGGGCGGUGCCCAUUGCCAUCCCUACCAACGAUAACCUAGAAACAGAAACAAGAAAAACAAAAAAAAAAUUAAAUAAAAAUAAUAAUAAUACAAAUAAAGAAAACAAAGGAAAAUACUUCCCAAUUACACAAACGCAUUACGCACGCACAAACUCGACAGCGCUUUCUUUUCUUCCCCCCAUCUCUUUUGAUGCGCUUCCUUUUCACAAACCCAAUCAAAACCCCAUUACUCUCUUCUAUUCUUUUCCAUUGUCCCAACUCGCCCCGACUCGGCCUUCUUGACUCAGUCCGAGUCAACUCACCUUCUUCUUUGACAACUCAAAGAUCGUCACUUUCGAUGGCGGCGAUUCCCCCAAAAUCGCCGAGCCCUGAGGAGGAGGGACUCGCGAGGAGGUUGUGGAUCAAGUUUAAGAGAGAAUCUGUGUUUGCCAUGUACUCCCCGUUUACGGUUUGUUUGGCUUCUGGGAACCUAAAGCUUGAAACCUUCAGGCAUUACAUCGCCCAAGAUUUUCAUUUUCUCAAAGCUUUCGCCCAAGCGUAAGUGGGUUCUUGGAAUUCCUUGGUUUUGUUUGGUUCAAGGCUUGUUUGGUUGCUGAGAAAAUGCGGGAAAGUGCGGGAAAAUUUUGAGAAUUUUCUGUUUAGAUUGCGGGUUUGGGAGCUUGGAAGUUCUAUUAAAAGAAAUAAAUUAGGCAUCAUGAUAUAUAUAUAUAUAUAUAUAUAUUUUAUAAGAGAUUUUUCCAUAGCUGAGAAAAUGUAGCAAAUACCAAAUAAAAUAUGAUUUUUACUGGAGAUUUUAUUAUUAGUAAGGAUUAUUUUAUUAGUAAAACAAGUAAAAAUUAUGAGUUUAAGAUUGAGAAUGUGUAGCUGAUAAAUUCUAGUGAAGGACUAUAAAAUUGUGAAAAAAUAUCAUGCUAGAUACUUAUUAUUAGAGGGUUUUUGUGCUUGAUACUUGGAUUUUUAUUGCUUUGCACUUUUUAUAGCACACUGAUUUUAAUAUAAAUGAUUCGUGAGAAAAUGAACUGUGAAUAUAUUGAAGGAAAAAAUUUUGUGAGAUGCUGAACCGGCUGUCCUAGGAAAUGAUGCUUGUCCAUCCAAGAAGGAUUACGGAAAUAAGUUUGCUCUUGGAAGUCUGAGGGGUUUCCAACAAACUUUUGGUAAAAUGAUAGGAAAGCAAGGUUGUUAAUAUGUUUUAUGGGCGUUCUACUUUUUACAUGGUUGUUUGUUAGGAUUUUUUUGCCAUGGUAGGAUCAACAUAUAAAAAUUUUUUGUCCCUUAUACUCAAAGAAAGUUGGUAAGAGGAAAAAUUUUUUCAAAAUUUCUCAUUACUUGGGACUAUGAAAGCUAAACUGAACUUUUGUGGGGCAUAAUCCACUUAGUUGAUUUAUUUGGAUGAGUUUCGGUUUCUAAAGCGUAAAUUAGGAUAUACAUAAGUAUCAAGAGAAAUAUUUGUUUUUCUCACCCUGUACUGGUGUUAUAUAUUCUCUGUUUUGUUGUUAUUUUUAGGUAUGAACUGGCGGAAGAAUGUGCUGAUGAUGAUGAUGCAAAGUUAUCUAUCUCUGAAUUGAGGAAGGGUGUACUUGAGGAGUUAAAAAUGCAUGAUUCCUUUGUGAAGGUAAUAUGAAAUAACACAUAUAAACAAAUAAUAAGGAAAAUUUUGGUGAUUAAUAGAGUUGAAUCUACUAGAUUAUACUUUUCCUGGCUUUUGCUUGUGAAUCUAUGAAUUUUAAAUAGCCACAUAGUUAAAGUUAUAGAGUAGGUUGGCUUUAAUAAAUAGUUAUAAUGUUCAACGUCUUCUCAGAAAGUGAUGCCAUUUGCAUGUUGAUUGCAGAUUCUAAAACCAUGAUCAGAGCACAGGAUGUUGCUUAUAUUGGAUUGCUAAUCUUUUAACCGUUAUAGUUUACUUCAAAAGAAAUGGGCUAUUCUGAUUUUUGUGGCAGUUUAGCUGACCCAAUGGGAGCCUUUUAUUUUUGUUUAGUUAUUUAUUAAAGAAGAGAUUUGGAUUUUCUAUUUGAAGAUGGAAUCUUCACAUGCUAAGUAGAUCACAAUCUUGCUCCGUAUACUCGUGGUUUCUAACAAGUUGUAUACUUAUAUGCAAAUAAAUUUCAGUCCUAUCAUGUAACAGAGUAUUCUCAUGGCCUGAAUGUUUGAGUCAUGCAGGAGUGGGGUACAGAUCUUGCUAAAAUGGCUACUGUUAACUCUGCAACUGUAAAGUAUACAGAGUUCUUGUUGGCAACAGCUUCCGGGAAGGUCGAAGGUGUUAAAGGUCCUGGAAAACUUGCAACCCCAUUUGAGAAAACUAAAGUUGCCGCUUACACAUUGGGUGCCAUGUCACCUUGUAUGAGGCUCUAUGCUUUCCUUGGAAAGGAAUUCCAUGGCCUCCUAAAUGCUAAUGAAGGCAAUCAUCCUUACAAGAAGUGGAUUGACAAUUAUUCUUCUGAAAGUUUUCAGGUACAUGUUUAUUUGAGUGGUAAACUCAUUUUUCUUGAAUGGUAAAUUUGAUUUUACUUUGUUAAUUGCAGUUUUUGGGGAAGAUUCUUUACAUAAAUGGCCUUUUCUACUUUGUCUGCUCAACUAUUGUAUUCUUUCAAUUUAGGCCUCAGCUCUGCAAAAUGAGGACUUGCUGGAUAAACUUAGUGUCUCUUUGACAGGCGAAGAACUAGACAUAAUAGAAAAGCUCUAUCACCAAGCCAUGAAACUUGAAGUAGAGUUCUUCUGUGCUCAGCCACUUGCUCAGCCCACUGUAGUUCCUCUGAUUAAAGGGCAUAAUCCUGCAGGAGACCGUCUAAUUAUAUUUUCUGAUUUCGAUUUGACUUGCACCAUUGUUGAUUCCUCUGCCAUUUUGGCAGAGAUCGCAAUAGUGACAGCACCAAAAUCUGACCAGAAUCAACCUGAAAAUCAACUUGGUCGGAUGUCAUCAGGUGAGCUGAGGAACACAUGGGGUCUUCUUUCCAAACAGUACACAGAGGAGUACGAACAAUGCAUUGAAAGCUUCAUGCCCUCUGAGAAAGGUAUCUUGCUUGAUAAUUUAUUGGAAAGUCUUUGUGGAAGAAAUUGGAUGAUGUUAAUGGCUUUAAUAUAUUUGGCUUCAACUUUCUGGGUUUUCAGUGGAGAAUUUCAACUAUGAAACUUUGCAUAAAGCACUUGAGCAACUCUCACACUUUGAGAAGAGGGCAAAUUCUAGAGUGAUCGAAUCUGGAGUUCUCAAGGGUAUAAAUCUUGAAGAUAUUAAAAAAGCUGGUGAACGCCUGAGUCUUCAAGAUGGUUGCACUACCUUCUUUCAGAAAGUUGUAAAGAAUGAAAAUUUGAAUGCUAAUGUCCAUGUGCUUUCAUACUGUUGGUGUGGUGAUCUCAUCAGAGCAUCUUUUUCUUCAGGUAUCCAUAUUCAAUUGUGGAAAACUGAGGUCAUGAAACAUACAAUGACCCAUUAUUUCGAUAUAUUAGCAUGAUAAUUGAUUAACUUGCUUUUCCUUUUGAACCUUACUCAUUCCUGCUGAAAUAUCCUUGUUUUAGUUGUCCUAGUUUAUUAAUAGCUUUAUUUGUUUGGUAGAUAUAAACAUACUGACUUUGCUUUUGGGUUUUUUUUUUUGNNNNNNNNNNNNNNNNNNNNNNNNNNNNNNNNNNNNNNNNNNNNNNNNNNNNNNNNNNNNNNNNNNNNNNNNNNNNNNNNNNNNNNNNNNNNNNNNNNNNNNNNNNNNNNNNNNNNNNNNNNNNNNNNNNNNNNNNNNNNNNNNNNNNNNNNNNNNNNNNNNNNNNNNNNNNNNNNNNNNNNNNNNGCUGUACCGUACAUCCGCCUUGGCCGUACAGCAGAUGGUGGGGGCUGUGGGUUUGGGGUUUGGUUGUACCGUAUUGUUUUUUUAGCCCAAUAUUUUAUUUCUUUACUCUUCCAUGUGGGAAUUUUUUUUCCUAUUACAUGCAAAAAAGCUAUGGUCUGAUACUUUCCCUGGUUAUAGACGCAUGCUCCCUCUUGUUUUUUGGCCCAUUAUUUUGUUUCUUUAGUCUUCUAUGUGGGAAUUUUUUUCCUCCCUUAUGUGCAAUAAACCUAUAGUUUGAUACUUCCUCUGGUUAUAGACACACACAUGUUGCAUACGUGCACACAUAUCCUACUCACACAAAAACUAUGCAAUCUUAUUGGAGAAACUCUUUACUUAUUUCUUUCUUUGGUUAAAAGCAGCUUGAUAAAUUUUUUAGCCUCAAAAGUAAACUGUCCGGGUUAGCAGUCCAUUUGUAGGAUUCAACAUCAUUUGUCAUUUUGUCCAUGUUCCAUUUUCCUGGUCAAAGUAUUUGCAAAAUAUCUUUCCCAUGUAAUGAUGCCAGUGUUAAUUAGUCAACUUCUUUUGUUGUUAGCUGAGUCUGUCUGCUCUUUCUAAGUUGAAUUCUGCAGCUUAUUGAUUAAUUUCUUUCUGUUUAUCUGGGUCGUCGUCAUUUUCUCUUCUCUUUUUCUUUUCCCUUAUUAAAUCAGGUGUAUCUUGAAGGUUUUUCUUUUGAAUUAACAACAUAUAUCUCUCUUUUUAAAAAGAAGUUAACAUAACAUCAUGACUAUUGCUGUCAAAGGCUGAUAAAACACACUUCAUUUUCUUUAUUAACUUGUCUACAAUAUCUUUGUUUUCACUGAGCAGCAGGUUUAAAUGCACUGAAUGUACAUGCGAAUGAGUUCUCAUUCAAAGAAUCUAUUUCAACGGGUGAAAUUAUUGAGAAAGUGGAGUCCCCCAUUGACAAAGUUCAAGCUUUCAACAAUACUUUAGAGAAAUACGGAACUGACAGAAAGAACUUGAGUGUUUACAUUGGAGACUCUGUGGGUGACUUGCUUUGUCUGCUUGAGGCUGAUAUAGGCAUUGUAAUCGGGUCUAGCUCAAGCUUAAGGAGAGUGGGAUCUCAAUUUGGUGUUACAUUUAUCCCGUUGUACCCUGGCUUGGUUAAGAAACAGAAGGAGUACACUGAAGGAAGCUCUUCUAACUGGAAGGAGAAAUCUGGCAUACUUUACACAGUCUCAAGUUGGGCUGAAGUACAUGCCUUUAUCUUGGGGUGGUAGAAUUAUUAUUUUAUUAUUAUUUUUCCUCGUUCCAUCAUCUUCAUGUUAGUUAGGACAAAUGAAGGAAGCAUUAAUAUUAUAUAAUGGAUCACAAAGAUACAAGUUGGUGGCUGAUUUUAUUAGUGGCCACAUCUGCUGUCUUCCCUCUCUGUUUUUUCUACAGGGUCUUUACUUUCAGAGGCGUAAUAUUGCACUGUUAUCAGGACAAUGCUGAAAACAGGUAGUUAUCUCCAUUGAUUCUCAUUAAUCAUACGCUUUCUGCUUACCGUUGUUCUGACAGAAGUAUACUUUGUUUUUUUCCCCAACUUUUUUUUUCCAGGAUUCUUUAGCGGUUUCAAGCAGCUAUGAAUUGUAAGAGGGAGUUCUAUUAAAUCUGUCCAUAUAAUUGUCAGAUCAAGUGAUGUAUUUGUACUUUUAAUAGGCUAUUGAUGUUUGAUACUUGGCUGGAAUUGCAAUUUUGAGAAGAAAAAAGAAAAAAAGAAAUGGAUCUUUAGUUGGAUCCAUGAAAGCUCUAGGCUGCUGCCGGCUAUAAUGUUUGAUCAGGCAGCUCCCUGUAAUGGAUAAAUUGGAUUCACCCUUUUUUCCAAUGAUUGAUUUGAUUAUUCUAUAAAUUUGCCGCCAAUCCCUUUCCACUAAAUAUGCCAAGUGUAUUUAUUCAUGUUUGUUUUUGUAUUAAGAUUGAGGAUCUACCUAAUACCCACCUAUGCAUGCAUCUAAAAUUAUUCAGUUCAGUAAUCUGAAUCAGUCCGAAGACUGAGAUUUGACAGGGCAAAACUUGGCGGGAAGUACAAGCGAAUAAAUCCGGACAGCAUUGUACAUAAAGAUACAAGAUUUUUAGAAGUUCAAAAGUUCAAUAGAGAAGAUAUUUAUCUUCUAUUGCUUAUUUUCAAACUUAAAAGUCAUAGUAGAUAAAAGGUUCAAAACUUCAGGAGAGUAGAUUUUUAUCCUUUAUUUUCUUAUCUUAAACUUAAAAUUAUGGUAGUUAAAGAGCUUGGUAAAGUUAUAUUGUACCUUUUAUGUCCCGUUCUUACUUGAUAGCUGUGGAUUAAAAAUCACAUAUAAACAAAAUAGCUUAACAAAAUGUAACAUCCGCCUAAAGAAUGAAGAUUGAAGCGUGUAUCAAAUUUGAUAAUACCUUAUAAAAUCCAUUCGUAAAAGUAUUUUCAACAUUUGUUUAUUGUCCAUCGUACUUGAACUCGAAUUGGAAAACUUUUAAUGAAUGCUGAAAAUGAGAAGCCAAAUUUGACUACUCAAACAAAGAAAACCUUCACUGUCUUUCCCACAUUAUGUCAUUAUUAUAAGUGUGUGUGUGUGUGUAUAAUUUUUUUUUUUAAAAUCAAUAAUAGUAAUAAUAAUAAUAGGGAUGGCAAUGGGGAGGGGAGGGGAGGGGACCAAUCUCCCCAUACCCAUCCCCGAUGUUUUGCAUAUGUCCCCGUCCCCUCCCCGUCCCCGUCAAAAUUGCUUGAGAGAAUCCCCAUCCCCUCCCCGAAUAAUAACAGGGGAUCCCCGAGGGUCCCCGGUCCCCGAAUAAUUAAUAGUCUAAUACAUUUUUUAUUUUCGAUUUUAAAUUAAUCAUAUUAAAAUAAACUCAUACCGCUAUUGUAAGCUCGUAACCAACUUUGACAGCACAUUAAGGCCUCCAAUGUGCUUGGAUGAAGUUUGUUAUGGUAUGAGCUCACAACUCUACCACUAGUGUUAAAAGCUGAUUCAGAAGCAACUGUUGUAAUUGGAAUUGCCAAAAUAUCUCUAGCAAUUCGAGCUAAUGUAGGAUACCUAUUAGCAUUUGUCUUCCACCAACUCAAAAUAUUAAAAUCUUCCAUCCGAGAUAUAACUUUCUCAUCCAAAUAGGAAUCUAAUUCAUCUGCAACAACUGCACAAUCUCCAUUGUUUACAUAAUCAUUAAAACCUGUCAUCCAUUUGGUUGCUUUCUUAUAAGAAUCCCCUGUAGAUCUAGUAGAAGAACUACUACCAGUAUAAUCAAAGCAAUAAACAGUUGAUGAAAACUUCAAUUAAUACUCUUCAACUAAUUCCCGGCAAAGGGUGACCACUUUCCCAACAUACAACUAUUUUGAUAUUUAUUAUUUUUAACAAUAUUUAUAAUUUUGUUAUUUAUUUAUUAGUAAUUUUAAAAAUAAAAAUAAAAUUAAAAAUUAAAAUGGGGAAAUGGGUAGGGCUGCUGUACCGUACAUCCGCCUUGGCCGUACAGCAGAUUUAUUGAGAAAAAAAAAGAAUUUUCAAUUAAGGAGAUACAAUCAUUUUAAAAUAAAACUCUCAAACAUAAUUAAAUAACAUCUAACUUUCUACUGAAAUUUAAAAUUUAAGGAUAACUUAAUGAAUAAAUAAUAAAAACCCUAAAUAAUGUAUAAAAUAUACUUGGGACAAAAUUUAAAAAAAAAAAAAGAACAUAGAUUUCACAAGCCACUGCAGUGUUUUUCUUUUACCUUAUUCCUGACUUUAAUAUGGUCAAAAUAAAUAAAUAAACAAUCAAUUAAUAUUGUUGUUUUACUAAAAAUAAACAUAAACUUCUUCAUUUACUUAAAGAAUAUAUACUGUUUGAAUGUCCUAAAUAAAAAUUUAGAACUUUAAUUAGUUAAUUAAGCCUAAAAGUUUAAUAAUAUAAAUAUUUUGAUAUUUGUUAUUUUUACCAAUACUUAUAAUUUUAUAAUUCAAAUUUUAUAAUUUAUUUAUUAGUAAUUUUAAAAAAUAAAAAUAAAAUUAAAAAUUAAAAUGGGGAAAUGGGUAGGGGAUGGGGAUUCUACCUCAUCCCCGUCCCCUCCCCGAAUAAAAAGUUGGGUAAAAAAUUUUCCCCGUCCCCUCCCCAAAAAAAAAAUUGGGUAUAAAAUUAUCCUCGUACCCUCCCCGAAUGGGGAAAAUCCCCGAGGGUACCCAUCCCCGUGGGGAUUUUUGCCAUCCCUAAAUAAUAAUAACAACAACCGUUUUCUGCUUUCUUGAAACUUUUAUGAUUAUGAUGCUUAGCUGGAGGGAAAAAGCACUUUUGGAUUUUUGGCUUCCAACAAAAUUAGAUAUAAAAUUAAUUUUUUUUUUUCUAAGUGUUAGGUGUCUAGGAAAAUCUUGUUUGGUGGUAGCCAUGAUCUGGUGGGGGACCUAUGUCGACUUGUAUGAGAAUCGUGUUUUUCAAUAGUUUCUUUUUUUUUUGUAUGAGAAUCGUGUUUUUCAAUAGUUUCUUUUUUUUUUUUUCUUUUUUUGGAGUAAAUUAUUAUUACAAUCAAUGAUGUGAUUGAUUAUUCAAAUAAUUAUGAGCACUCAGAUAAUUUUUUUUCUUUUUUGUAUUUUUUUUUUAAUUUUUGCAAAUGGGGUUUUGCUUUUUGAUGUCAAUAUGUUUGCACACGCGUCACACUAAACAGCCAGUGUAUAAAUUAUAGCAGGACUAGAAUUCAGAAUUAAGAAAUCCUUUAAUUUUUGUACCCAAAGGCAUCAUGAGUUAGAUGAUACAUUCAUUAAUAUUGACUCCUAGCAGUAAUGCUGUUUGUACAUUUGGUUGAUCUAAUGAUUAUCUCAAUUCACUCUCUACAAUGUGUGAAUUGGCAAUAUAACAAUUUUGAAUGGGAUUUAAUCAUCAAAAAUAAUAAAAAUACAGUUGAAAUUACUUUGGUAUGAUCAAAAAUAUCAGUCAACUAAAAACAUACUUGAGAUUAGUACAAGAAACGUUUUAUUUUGUUGACAAUUUAACAACACAACAUACUUCAGCCUUAAAAAUUAAAAAAAAAAAAUCGAAACUCUAAAGUAAUUAAUUUUAAUUUAUGCUUAAAUGUCCAAGAAAAACCGACCACUAUGUUUUUUUUUAUUUUUUUUUUCACAAAAUUGAUUUGGGACGGGGAAAAUUGAAUGAUGACCUUGACACAUUGGUAAACUUAACUAGUCAGAUUAGCACUGGGACUGUGGGACAUGCGAAUCAAACCUAAAUUAUAAAAAGAAUCUGCACUUAAUUACAAAAAUUUAAAUCAAUCUAAAUUAGCCAUCCAAUCAGUGUAAUAUUGACUUGCAAGCUUGAUUCGAACUCACUAUCUUCAUCCACUAGACCUUCCCCACUUUCUGUUUCUUGCAAUAACAUUUUUUUUAAUUGUUUGUUUUCCCAUGUUGCCAUGUUAUAAUUAAAAAAAAAAACCCAAAAGUAAUUCAUCAGAUUUUGGGCUUUCUGACUAAUUAAUCUCUUUUUUUUUUUUUUAAUUGUAAGUGCAAAAGCUUUAUCUUUACUUUCUUUUCUUUUAAUUGGGAAUUCACGUGUGGGUUUAUUUUAUUUGCAAUAAGCCUCCCAUUUUGGACUACAAUUGGGAGGUUGACACUUUUUUCCCUAUAUUUUUUAAUUUUAUCAUUCACCUUCAAAAGCUUUUUUGUAAUAUUCCUUCACUAUUUUGAUGUCAAAAUUAUAUUUAUAUUGAAUUAAUAAUGACUAGUUCAAUUGGUGGAUUUUGAAGUGAUACAAAAGAUUUAUGGUUGGAAUACUGGCCUUUUGAUAUUAGAUUCAUAAAAAUGUAACACUUGGUAAAACUACAACGUGAUAACAACUUGUUAAAAUUACAACAUGAUGACAAGCGACAACAAUUAAUCAAAAUUAAAUUCAAGCGUAAUUCUCAUAAUUUAUUUCAACUGCUUAACUACAAGUGACAGUAAUCUCUUUUUCCCAUCAACUGAAGCAAUCUAGCAUUCAUUAUUCAAUGUCCUUGGAAAGUUCAUAUGUAGAGCUUUCUUCUUCUUUUUCUUGUCCCUAUCUUUUUCUUUUAUUCGGUUAUACCUUUUCAAAGUUUGAUUCUAAUCUUACGUUUUCACUCGAAAUUAUAUAACCAACCAGUUAAAUUACAAAUUGAAAAGAAAAUUUAGGAAAUCGACGUAAUUGAUAACUACAUAUGAACAAACGAGUUAAUACGCGUUAAAUUAUGCGUCAGAUAUUACGUAAUUAACUCGUUAAAUCACAGAUCAAAAACGAAGAAAAAAAGUUAACAGCAAACCUAAUCGAUCAUCUACAUAUAACAGAUAAGUCAUCAAGACGGAGUAAGGUUGCGUCAGUACUCACUCACGAUCUUCAACCACGUGUCGUGUUAAUAAAUCACAUACUCUAAAUUAAUAACCUACGAUCAUCACUUUUCUUUUCAUUAAUACAAUUUAUUUAUUUCAUUAAUUAAUUUAUUUGCUAAAUGGUCCCUACUAUAAGAUGGUUCAUCUUAGAUUCCCACUAUAUUUUCUUCAUUAGAUAUUAAUUCUUUCACUAACAUAUAACACAUAACAUUAAAAAAAAACAUGUGAAGUAGGCCCUUAAUGCUUGUACGUACACUAUAUAAUAAUAAUUAUUUUUUAUAUAACCCCUUUGUAUCAUCCGCUAACAAAACCACAAGAACUAAGCAAAUGUAAAAGCUCAUUACGUUAUUUAUAUAAAUCUAUAUGUGACCAGCAACUCAUUAUUCAUUUCUCACCUUCUUCCUCUCUUCUUCUUUUUCUUCUGGUUUCGAAUUCUUAACUCUUCCCUUUGUUUUAUGGGUGUUUUCGCAAAUUCUUGAAGUUGAAGGGAGAGGAGAUGAUGAUGGCAAAUUCAGAAACUGGAGGAAGAACUGAAGGCCAAGUACAAGUUUUAAUCAAGAAUUUGUCUUGGGAUCCAUGGCCUAAACAAUAUUAUUUGAUGUUGCAACCAUAACUAUGAGGAAGGGUUAACCUCUAGGCAAGUCUAAUGCUUGGCUUUUUUUUUAAAUUAUCCUCCAUUUUCUUUGUUUCCUAUUUUUCUCUUUCCUUUUGUUUCUUAGAUUUAAUUUUCUAGUUUGUUUGUGUGCCAACAAGAAAAUGGAGGAUAAUAUGAAUAACGUAUAGGAAAUCUUGAAUUAAUCUUUUAUCAAAAGAUUUUCAGGGUUUCUCUUUCUUUAAUUGUUGCCAUAUUACUGUCUUUUGUGGGCAGCAAUAACCAUGCAUAAUUAAACAAAUUAAUUUUCUUUUUGUCUGUUUUUGUUCUUGUGAUUGCUUCUCAUAUAUUGCAACCACAGAAUAUCUCUGUAAAACACAAAUUAGCUCGUGUUUUUAAUUCCUUCCUUGUUCAUUUAAUAUUCAUUAUGAUUGAAUCUGUAGAAUUUUCAAAAGAUAGUAUGGAUUCUUUAUUAUUCAAGAGAUAUAUAUCUGCAGCUUCAUUUCUUUAUAUAAGUCUCACAUAUAUAUAUAUACACACACACACACACACACACAAAAGAAUUGCAUAGACUUUAAUUAACAACAAAUGCAAGGUGCUUAGGCUUUCUGUUAAUUCAUAUUUGAAGAAUAAGAACAGUGAAAAAUGCAGGUUCUGAAAUC